GCAAGCGCGAAACCUUAUACACGUGCACGACAGUGCGAUAAGGGAAUCCCAAGUGCGUAGGCAUAGAGCCUACGCUUUUGUCCACCCUAGGGCGGUGGACGAAUAAGGGCUGGGCAAGACCGGUGCCAGCCGCCGCGGUAAUACCGGCAGCCCGAGUGAUGGCCGAUUUUAUUGGGCCUAAAGCGUCCGUAGCUGGCCGCGCAAGUCCAUCGGAAAAUCCACCCGCUCAACGGGUGGGCGUCCGGUGGAAACUGCGUGGCUUGGGACCGGAAGGCGCGACGGGUACGUCCGGGGUAGGAGUGAAAUCCCGUAAUCCUGGACGGACCGCCGAUGGCGAAAGCACGUCGCGAGAACGGAUCCGACAGUGAGGGACGAAAGCUAGGGUCUCGAACCGGAUUAGAUACCCGGGUAGUCCUAGCCGUAAACAAUGCCUGUUAGGUGUGGCUCCCACUACGAGUGGGUGCUGUGCCGUAGGGAAGCCGCUAAACAGGCCGCCUGGGAAGUACGUCCGCAAGGAUGAAACUUAAAGGAAUUGGCGGGGGGAGCACAAGGAAGGGGGGGAA
RNAcentral lists this ribosomal RNA (563 nucleotides) under Halorubrum sp. AD156. RNAcentral's name for it is "bacterial SSU rRNA". It matches the Rfam family "Archaeal small subunit ribosomal RNA", at positions 335 to 894 of the family's 1478-position model. Lineage: Archaea; Methanobacteriati; Methanobacteriota; Halobacteria; Halobacteriales; Haloferacaceae. The record is from RNAcentral.